CUUGAGCGAGCCCAGCCAGGCGGGUUCGGCGCGUCCCUUGCCGUAGGUGGCGAGCAGCGCCUGGGCCUC
This 69-nucleotide antisense RNA is filed under the name Actinoplanes regularis. RNAcentral's name for it is "ASpks TB sRNA". It matches the Rfam family "ASpks TB sRNA". The record is from Rfam by way of RNAcentral. Lineage: Bacteria; Bacillati; Actinomycetota; Actinomycetes; Micromonosporales; Micromonosporaceae.